GGCGAGCCGCCGCCACCUUCCAACUGGAACCACCGCGCCGGAAUCAUAACCACCCAAAAAAAUCCCAAAAUUUACGUAGAAACCUUAUUUUUUGCGAUUUAAACACAAAUCAACAUUAAAGGUGCAAAAAACACAACAAAUAGUGUUAAAAAAAGGUAAUUAUCUUCCCUUUUUUUUUGUUUCUUUUUAGAUCUAUCCCUCUUCUAAUUCUUUUUCUUUUUUAGAUUUCAGGUUAAGGGUGUUGGUGGAGGCAGAGGGAAGGUGCACUGUUAAAUUAGUUUUUUUUUUUUGUAAUUUCUCUUCUCUGUGUGUGUAAAAAAAACCCUUUUUUUGCUCUGAUUGUGUCUCAAUUAAUAGACCAAGUGAAUGAAUUUGUUUAAUGUAAAAAACCUUCAGAUUUACAAUUUUUAUUGUUUUUAAUCUCAUCAAUUUGUGUUGAGAAGAAAAAAAAAUAGUAUGAGGAGAUGGUGAUGAAUGAAUGAAUCUGUGGUUGUUUUUCUCUGUUCUAUUCUUUAUCUAUGCUUUCAUGUAUUGUAACUCAAAAUAUAGUAUAAUUUUCAAUUUCUGCCUCCAAUAUUACAUAUAUGAUAUAUCCAAAUU
RNAcentral lists this long non-coding RNA (600 nucleotides) under Trifolium pratense (red clover). Its description in RNAcentral is "long non-coding RNA (TPRA_LNC007675)". Lineage: Eukaryota; Viridiplantae; Streptophyta; Magnoliopsida; Fabales; Fabaceae. The record is from RNAcentral.